GGAUUAAUACCGGAUAUUCUUAUUUAAUCACAUGAUUUUUUAAGGAAAGGUCAGCCGAACUAAGAUGGGCUCGCGUUCUAUCAGCUAGUUGGUAGGGUAAUGGCCUACCAAGGCUACGACGGAUAGCUGGUCUGAGAGGACGAUCAGCCACACUGGGACUGAGACACGGCCCAGACUCCUACGGGAGGCUGCAGCAGGGAAUAUUGCGCAAUGAGCGAAAGCUUGACGCAGCGACACCGCGUGUGGGAUGACGGAUCUAGGUUUGUAAACCACUUUCAGGAGGGAAGAAAAUGACGGUACCUCCACAAGAAGCCCCGGCCAACUACGUGCCAGCAGCCGCGGUAAUACGUAGGGGGCGAGCGUUGUCCGGAUUUAUUGGGCGUAAAGAGCUCGUAGGCGGUUCAACAAGUCGGUCGUGAAAGUUCAGGGCUCAACCCUGAAAUGUCGAUCGAUACUGUUGUGACUAGGAUACGGUAGAGGUGAGUGGAAUUCCGAGUGUAGCGGUGAAAUGCGUAGAUAUUCGGAGGAACACCAAUUGCGAAGGCAGCUCACUGGGCCGCUAUCGACGCUGAGGAGCGAAAGCUAGGGGAGCAAACAGGAUUAGAUACCCUGGUAGUCCUAGCUGUAAACGAUGGAUACUAGACGUAGGAAUUGGAUUAACGAUUUCUGUGUCGUAGCUAACGCGUUAAGUAUCCCGCCUGGGGAGUACGGUCGCAAGACUAAAACUCAAAGGAAUUGACGGGACCCCGCACAAGCGGCGGAGCAUGCGGCUUAAUUCGAUGAUACCCGUAGAACCUUACCUGGACUUGACAUAUAGGGAAAAGUUAUAGAAAUAUAAUGUGCAUUAGCGUCCUAUACAGGUGGUGCAUGGCUGUCGUCAGCUCGUGUCGUGAGAUGUUGGGUUAAGUCCCGCAACGAGCGCAACC
This 926-nucleotide ribosomal RNA is filed under the name marine metagenome. RNAcentral describes it as "bacterial SSU rRNA". It matches the Rfam family "Bacterial small subunit ribosomal RNA", at positions 160 to 1103 of the family's 1533-position model. The record is from RNAcentral.